This 748-nucleotide ribosomal RNA is filed under the name Pseudomonas mosselii. Its description in RNAcentral is "bacterial SSU rRNA". It matches the Rfam family "Bacterial small subunit ribosomal RNA", at positions 42 to 785 of the family's 1533-position model. The record is from RNAcentral. Lineage: Bacteria; Pseudomonadati; Pseudomonadota; Gammaproteobacteria; Pseudomonadales; Pseudomonadaceae.
CCAUGUAGGGUCCGUAACNAGUCGAGCGGAUGACGGGAGCUUGCUCCUUGAUUAGCGGCGGACGGGUGAGUAAUGCCUAGGAAUCUGCCUGGUAGUGGGGGACAACGUUCCGAAAGGAGCGCUAAUACCGCAUACGUCCUACGGGAGAAAGUGGGGGAUCUUCGGACCUCACGCUAUCAGAUGAGCCUAGGUCGGAUUAGCUAGUUGGUGAGGUAAAGGCUCACCAAGGCGACGAUCCGUAACUGGUCUGAGAGGAUGAUCAGUCACACUGGAACUGAGACACGGUCCAGACUCCUACGGGAGGCAGCAGUGGGGAAUAUUGGACAAUGGGCGAAAGCCUGAUCCAGCCAUGCCGCGUGUGUGAAGAAGGUCUUCGGAUUGUAAAGCACUUUAAGUUGGGAGGAAGGGCAGUAAGUUAAUACCUUGCUGUUUUGACGUUACCGACAGAAUAAGCACCGGCUAACUCUGUGCCAGCAGCCGCGGUAAUACAGAGGGUGCAAGCGUUAAUCGGAAUUACUGGGCGUAAAGCGCGCGUAGGUGGUUCGUUAAGUUGGAUGUGAAAGCCCCGGGCUCAACCUGGGAACUGCAUCCAAAACUGGCGAGCUAGAGUAUGGUAGAGGGUGGUGGAAUUUCCUGUGUAGCGGUGAAAUGCGUAGAUAUAGGAAGGAACACCAGUGGCGAAGGCGACCACCUGGACUGAUACUGACACUGAGGUGCGAAAGCGUGGGGAGCAAAAAAGAUUAGAUAC